Molecule: antisense RNA, 75 nt
Filed under: Streptomyces sp. MMG1121
Lineage: Bacteria; Bacillati; Actinomycetota; Actinomycetes; Kitasatosporales; Streptomycetaceae
Description: ASpks TB sRNA
Rfam family: ASpks TB sRNA
Source: Rfam by way of RNAcentral
CUUCAACGACCCCAGCAGCAGGGGCCGCCCGGCCUCCCGACCCUGCCCGUACGUCGCCAGCAGCGCCUGCGCCUC